Long non-coding RNA from Zingiber officinale, 202 nucleotides. RefSeq lists it as uncharacterized. NCBI's taxonomy places the organism in Eukaryota, Viridiplantae, Streptophyta, Magnoliopsida, Zingiberales, Zingiberaceae. The record is from RefSeq and is a predicted model, not a curated record. The transcript is spliced from 3 exons.
GUACUGUCUAUGUUGUUACUGUGCCCUAGCUGAGGAUUCAAAGGAGGUGCAGCGGGUUUACUAUGGUUUUUGGCUGAGUUUCCAGCAGCAUACAGUUUCAUCUCUUCAAUUGUGGGUCAACAACAAUUCAUCUGGUUUUAGGACUGUGAUUCGAGACGGACAUCUCGACAUCGGAAUUGGUUCGAUUCGAUCUAUACUGGAG